This 364-nucleotide ribosomal RNA is filed under the name Fusobacterium necrophorum. Its description in RNAcentral is "bacterial SSU rRNA". It matches the Rfam family "Bacterial small subunit ribosomal RNA", at positions 1 to 374 of the family's 1533-position model. The record is from RNAcentral. Lineage: Bacteria; Fusobacteriati; Fusobacteriota; Fusobacteriia; Fusobacteriales; Fusobacteriaceae.
CGAACGAAGAGUUUGAUCCUGGCUCAGGAUGAACGCUGACAGAAUGCUUAACACAUGCAAGUCGACUCGAGUCUUCGGACUUGGGUGGCGCACGGGUGAGUAACGCGUAAAGAACUUGCCUCUUAGACCGGGACAACAUCUGGAAACGGAUGCUAAUACCGGAUAUUAUGGUUUUUUCACAUGGAGGAAUCAUGAAAGCUAGAUGCGCUAAGAGAGAGCUUUGCGUCCCAUUAGCUGGUUGGUGAGGUAACGGCCCACCAAGGCAAUGAUGGGUAGCCGGCCUGAGAGGGUGAACGGCCACAAGGGGACUGAGACACGGCCCUUACUCCUACGGGAGGCAGCAGUGGGGAAUAUUGGACAAUGG